GUGCUCGCUUCGGCAACACAGAUACUAAAAUUGGAAUGAUACAGAGAAGAUUAGCAUGGCCCCUGCGCAAGGAUGACACGCAAAUAAUUUACCUCUUCCAAACCUGC
This 107-nucleotide small nuclear RNA is filed under the name Ochotona princeps (American pika). Lineage: Eukaryota; Metazoa; Chordata; Mammalia; Lagomorpha; Ochotonidae. The record is from RNAcentral.